AUUGAACGCUGGCGGAAUGCUUUACACAUGCAAGUCGAGCGGCGGCGCGGGGCAACCUGGCGGCGAGCGGCGAACGGGUGAGUAAUGUAUCGGAACGUGUCCUGUCGUGGGGGAUAGCCCGGUGAAAACCGGAUUAAUACCGCAUACGAUCGAGAGAUGAAAGUGGGGGACCGCAAGGCACCACGCGAUAGGAGCGGCCGAUAUCUGAUUAGCUAGUUGGUGGGGUAAAGGCCCACCAAGGCUUCGAUCAGUAGCUGGUCUGAGAGGAUGAUCAGCCACACUGGGACUGAGACACGGCCCAGACUCCUACGGGAGGCAGCAGUGGGGAAUUUUGGACAAUGGGGGCAACCCUGAUCCAGCCAUUCCGCGUGAGAGAAGAAGGCCUUCGGGUUGUAAAGCUCUUUUGUCCGGGAAGAAACGGUUUUGGCUAAUAACCAAGACUACUGACGGUACCGGAAGAAUAAGGACCGGCUAACUACGUGCCAGCCGCCGCCGUAA
RNAcentral lists this ribosomal RNA (498 nucleotides) under uncultured bacterium. RNAcentral describes it as "partial 16S ribosomal RNA". It matches the Rfam family "Bacterial small subunit ribosomal RNA", at positions 29 to 523 of the family's 1533-position model. The record is from RNAcentral.